GGCAGUGUGGCUUAGUGGUUUGAGCAUUAGACUACAAUGCCAGAGACCAGAGUUCAAUUCCCAUCUCAGCCA
Non-coding RNA from Phrynosoma platyrhinos (Desert horned lizard), 72 nucleotides. The record is from the annotation of a GenBank genome assembly. Lineage: Eukaryota; Metazoa; Chordata; Lepidosauria; Squamata; Phrynosomatidae.